RNAcentral lists this long non-coding RNA (2866 nucleotides) under Helianthus annuus (common sunflower). RNAcentral describes it as "hypothetical non coding rna". Lineage: Eukaryota; Viridiplantae; Streptophyta; Magnoliopsida; Asterales; Asteraceae. The record is from RNAcentral.
CUUACAAAUAUGUACUUCAAACUUUAUUAAAGAAACCCUAAAUGCCUUACAUUCUUACAAAUCAAUUUCAUGGUAUCACUUUAUAUUCGAAAUUGGACUAUUAACAUUUUCUUAAUCUUUAAAAACUAUUUUGUUGAUUGACAGUACAAAUUUUACUCAUAACAACAUUUAGCUGCUGCUGCUGGACAUCCCAAAAAGAUUGAUCAUAGAUUUUGACCUUGGCUUCUUUUCUGCAGGUUUUAAUAUUCGGAAUGAACACAAUAGAGUCUCGUCAACACUUAUAAAAGCACCCGCGUUGUCAAAUUCACCGCAAUAAUUAGGAGCCGAAAACACCGUUACUAGUUGUUUGUAUGCAAAGAACUCGUACCCAUCCUCUACAACCUGCAACAACAAAGUAACACCAAACAGAAUUAAAGUCCAUUUUGACUUCUAAGGUCAACACAGUAUGUUUCUAAAUUCGAAAUAAACAAAGAACAAGCUAUCGAUCGAACACCAACAUUUCAUUAUUAGUGACAUUUAUUACAAAGAAAAGCACAGUCAGGAAAUUUAAAAAAAAAGUUGAAAAUUUUGUAGGAAAUUUGAAUAUAAAUUUUAGCCUGUUUGACCUCAAAAGUCAACUGUAUCAGAACAUACACAAAAGACAAACCUGGUGAGCGCGACAAAUAAGAUCAAGAUCAUGUUUGAGUAAAAACUCCGUGACAACAUCAGCACCAAACGUGUACGAAACUCCACGAUCAUUCAUUGCCCACCCUUUGACUUCUUUAUGCGGGUCAGACCACAAAAGAUCACAAAGCAAACCAUUAUCGGGCACAUCAGCAGGACGUUCCAACUCUCUAAUCUGAUCCAAGUCAUGAAGGUCAGGCGAAAGGCCACCAUGCAUACACAAAAUCUUUUCACUAACUAAAGCUGCAACAGGCAAGCAAUUGAAGCAAUCUCCGAAGAUCUUCCAUAACUUAACAUUGAAUCUUUUUUUACAUUCGUCAUAGAACCCGUACACGCGGUUUAUAGAAGAACACUCGUGGUUUCCUCGCAGAAGGAAGAUGUUAUCCGGGUACUUAAUCUUGUAGGCGAGAAGAAGGCAUAUAGUUUCAAGGCUUUGUUUGCCGCGAUCAACGUAAUCGCCAAGAAACAAGUAGUCGGCUUUUGGAGGCAAUCCGUCGUGCUCGAAAAGACGAAGAAGAUCAGGGUAUUGACCAUGGAUGUCACCUGAUAAUCAUAGAUCUGUUGAAGCUUCCAAAACAACAUAUAUCUUAAUAUUCAAAGUAUAUUACAACAUACAACCCAAAACAACUAAACAAACAAACAUACCACCAUCCUAGGUAGGCCUGUAAACGAAUCGAACGUUUACGAAUUGUUUGGCGGGAAGUUCGUUUAUUUGAAUGAAUGAACAAACGUAAACAAAAUAUUUUGUUCAUUUAAUUAAACGAACGAACAUGAAACAUGUUUUGUUUGUUCAUUUAUGUUCUUGAACGUCCGUUUAUCACAUAUGUUUAUGUUCGUUUCUUUAUGUUUGUUCGUUUAAAUUUUAAAUGAACACAUAAGUAGUUAUAUUUAUAUAAUACAAGUAGUUAGAAACCCCCUUUAUGGUUAUAUUUAUAUAAGGGGAAUUGGCCUUAAUAAAAAACGGUCUUUCCAAUAUGAUCGCAAUUGAUCACCAAUUUAUAUAUAAAAAAAAAAACUACGUAAUCGAAUCAUGUACAUUUAAACAACUAAUUAAGAUGUGUUUUGGAUGAAUUGUGAUGUAUUAGGCUUAUCCGUUUGUGUUCAUCAAUGUUAAAUAAUGUUCGUUUAUGUCUGUUCAAUUAUGUUCAUUUGUGUUGGUUUAUGUUUGUUCAAUUGUGUUCGUUUACGUUCGUGAACUGUUUGUUUAGGUUUUAAACGAACAAACAUGAACAUAUUCAUUUUCUUAAUGAACGAACAUGAACAAAAAAUGUGUUCGAUUAUAUGUUUGUGUUCGUUUACAUCCUAAUCCUGGGGAUAGAGAGGCUGCUCUAUAGAGAACCCCUGAUAAAAAAAUCCCCUUUUUUGACCCUUUUAACAUGUGAAGUGUAAAGAACCGGGUAAACAAAACCCAAAGCAGUAAAACCAACAAAUGUAUCGCCGAUCACGGAAUAGAAUAGAGAGGCUACUUUCAUCAAGACCCAUAUAUAUUAAAAAAUCACUUUUUAUUUUUAAACUUUUUUACCAUAUAAGAGACAAAGAGACUGCUUCUAGCGACACAACAAAUUAAAAAAAAAAACCACCUUUUUGACUUUUUUAACAUGUCAAGUGUAAAAAACCAAAUAAAUGAAUGCCGCCCACAACCCAAAAAAUACAAUCUUUUAACUUUUCAUCAUAAUUUCAGUUAAACCAAAGCACAGAUUACUUAAAUUUUGCAACUUUUUUAGUGGGUUAUUUACUUCUUUAAAAGAUAUUCUAUCAACAAUCAAAAGAGGGGAAGAAUAUUCAACCAAUAAGAAACAAGCAAGCAAGAUUCAAGAUUUCAAAAGGGGAAACAGAAAAGCAAAGAAAUUGAUAAACAGAUACCACAAAUCUUGAUGGGGGCUUGAAGCUCCAACAGAUUAGGCUGCUGCAAGAAAAUCUCUCUGGAAACAACACAAAGCUGCUUGAUUUCUGAUUCAGUGAGCUCAAAAUGCUUACUGGGUUUAGGCCCAACUUCAAGAAGCCUGUGAAUGAUGCUAUCUACAACAGAUUGGUCCAUUGUGGUUCAUAUGUAAUUGAUUCUGAUAAUGGGUUUUGAAGGGUGGAUUGAAGAGAAGCAAAGAAAACUAAUAUUUGUGGAAAAACUGGGAAGUCAACGCUCAAGAAUAACGGUGGGCGAAUGAUGGACCGGAUAGCUGAAUUAGAGGAUUCAUUGUUUUUAUAA